Molecule: ribosomal RNA, 1479 nt
Filed under: metagenome
Description: bacterial SSU rRNA
Rfam family: Bacterial small subunit ribosomal RNA
Source: RNAcentral
GGUUCAGAUUAAACGCUGGUGGCGUACCUAAUACAUGCAAGUCAAACGGGUUACUUCGGUAACUAGUGGCGAGCGGGUCAGUAAUACAUGGGUGACGUACCUUUUACACUGGGAUAAUAGUUCUAACGGACUACUAAUACCAGAUAGCACCUCGGUUUAGAUAUCGAAGGUUAAAGCGGGGGAUCGAAAGACCUCGCGGUGAAAGAGCGGCUCAUGACCUAUCAGCUAGUUGGUGAGGUAAAGGCUCACCAAGGCGAUGACGGGUAGGCGGAUUGAGAGAUUGACCGCCGACAUUGGAACUGAGACACGGUCCAGACUCCUACGGGAGGCAGCAGUAGGGAAUCUUGCACAAUGGGCGAAAGCCUGAUGCAGUGACGCCACGUGAGUGAUGAAGGUCUUAGGAUUGUAAAGCUCUUUAGUCUAGGAAAAAGAGACGUGAUUGAAAGGUUACGUUUCUGAUGGUACUAGAAGAAUAAGCACCUGCUAACUCCGUGCCAGCAGCAGCGGUAAUACGGAGGGUGCGAGCGUUAAUCGGAAUUAUUGGGCGUAAAGGGCGCGUAGGCGGAUUUUUAAGUCGGGUGUUUAAGACCAGAGCUCAACUCUGGAAAAGCAUUCGAUACUGGAAGUCUAGAGUAUCGGCGGAGAAAAUGGAAUUCCUGGUGUAACGGUGAAGUGUGUUGUUAUCAGGAAGAACAUCAAGAGCGAAGGCAGUUUUCUAGCCGAUAACUGACGCUGAGGCGCGAAAGCGUGGGAGCAAACAGGAUUAGAUACCCUGGUAGUCCACGCCCUAAGCUUUGUGUACUUGAUGUGGGUGACUAGAUUGCCCGCGUCGGAGCUAACGCGUUAAGUACACCGCCUGGGGAGUACGGCCGCAAGGUUAAAACUCAAAGGAAUUGACGGGGGCCCGCACAAGCAGUGGAGCAUGUGGUUUAAUUCGAUACGACGCGAAAAACCUUACCCAGCCUUUUCACUAUAUAUAAGUUUGCAGAGAUGCAGAUGCUACGGAUAUAGUGUUAGGUGCUGCAUGGCUGUCGUCAGCUCGUGCCGUGAGGUGUUGGGUUAAGUCCCGCAACGAGCGCAACCCUUAUCAUUUGUUACCAGCACGUAAAGGUGGGGACUCUAAUGAGACUGCCGAGGUUAACUCGGAGGAAGGUGAGGAUGACGUCAAGUCCGCAUGGCCCUUAUGGCUGGGGCUACACACGUGCUACAAUGGCCGGUACAAUAGGUUGCGAAGCCGCGAGGUGAAGCUAAUCCUAAAAACCGGUCUCAGUUCGGAUUGGAGUCUGCAACUCGACUCCAUGAAGCUGGAAUUGCUAGUAAUGGCGAGUCAGCACAUCGCCGUGAAUACGUUCCCGGGCCUUGUACACACCGCCCGUCACACCAUGGAAGUUGUUAACGCCCGAAGUACGUGACCCAACCCGCAAGGGAGGGAGCGGCCUAAGGUGAGAGCGAUGACUGGGGUGAAGUCGUAACAAGGUA